GGGUCCCUAUUUGUAACCCCAUCUCUCUGUCCUCUCUGAAACCUAUUUUUCUCUUUGGGGGAGAAUUGAGAAUUGUAAGUAAGGAGUUUUUUUGUUGGUGGGGUUGGGUUAAGGGGGCUCAAAGGAAAAAAUAUAUAUCAGAAAAUGGCUCAAGAGGACAAGCAAUACUCAAUUACUCAUCUUUCUCAACCACCCAUUUCUCUAUAUUGGGAAUUGUUGAGACCAAAUUACCCUUCCAUGAAUGUGAUGCUCGUCCCCAUUCUCCUGCAAAUCCAAAGGUCAUAAUUGGGAAAACAGGCAUUAAGCUUGAAGGGUGCAAAUGGAAACUCCCUCUCUCUCAGUACAAAGAUAACUUUCCUUCGUAGAAUACAAAAAAGGCAAACAGGAUGGAGUCAGGCAAUUGUUGUAGUUACGGUUUUCUGUGCUUGUUUUUAGAUAUAUUUUUCUCAUCAUACUACUAUUACUCCUUUUGGAUAAAUCUUCUUGAACUUUCCAAGAAAAAGGAAGAGCAACAGCAAGUCUUUUGAAGGGCUUAUAUAUAUGAAGAAAUCAUCUGCUUAUCUCUGCAUAAAGAAUCUGGCUUUUUUCAUGUGAGGAUAAUUGUGAUGGCGAUGUUGCAUUUUCUUCCCCAUUUUUCUAUAGCUGUAUUUAUUUUCAUACAUAUAAAUAUCACAAAUCUUUUUUUUUUUUUAAUCUUGGUAGCUGCUUUUCUUUUUCAAGCUAUUUUCUCAUGUUUCUUUCCCGAUUAUAUUCACUCAGAGUUACAUAUUUUCUCUAGAUGAUUAUCGAGAUCAAUAGUUCUAAUUUUCAGUAUUGCCCACGUUUCUUUCUGUAGCUUUCAAUAUGUUGAAG
Molecule: long non-coding RNA, 852 nt
Filed under: Durio zibethinus
Lineage: Eukaryota; Viridiplantae; Streptophyta; Magnoliopsida; Malvales; Malvaceae
Description: long non-coding RNA (DZIB_LNC000345)
Source: RNAcentral